Molecule: long non-coding RNA, 762 nt
Organism: Macrosteles quadrilineatus (aster leafhopper)
Lineage: Eukaryota; Metazoa; Arthropoda; Insecta; Hemiptera; Cicadellidae
Exons: 2
Source: RefSeq, a predicted model, not a curated record
CUGAGAACAUGGCUGCUAGGAAGUCAAGCUCUCUACUGGCCAAAAUAGAGCAGAACUUAUCUACUCUUUCACAGUUCCAGAUGUCUGCAAUAGACAAUAAAGUCAGUGAACAAACAUUGAGGCAUGUAAAUUAUACACUGACCAACUUAGUUAAUCACAUUCAGAUGUCGGAUGGUAAAAGUCAACUUGUAAACGUAAAUGAGAUGAAAGCUGCGGUUAAGUUCAAUUCGCAAGAGAAACUCAAGACCCAAGUAUCCCAACUUUUAUCAUUUAAGAGGCCAGUUAGUAAAAGGAAAAGGAAACCUGCAGACUGUAAAGAGAAGAAAGAAACUGUCAUAAAAAAUCUUCUUGAUUUUUUGCCCUAGUCCCAUUGUCCCCAAGAAGAUUUUGAGGGUUGAAGCUAAGUUUAAGGGUCAUGGCCUAAUUUUCGUUUGACACAUAUGCUUGGAUACUUGGAUUAUGCUUGGUUCCACUGAAAUUGUAACUACGACGUGGUAGAUAGCUUUUCCUUUUUGGCGGGUUUUAGCCGCAAUGAAGAGGUUCAUCAUAUCAUGCGCUUCAUAAAGAAAAUUAAUCCUUUUAUUUGUAAUUUCACCAUAUUCAGUUCUUGAGUUAUACUUCUUGGUUAAAGGAUGUACAAUUUGACACUGCAAUAGUAUGGUAAUUUACUGGAAGUUAUAUGUAUGUAUAAUUUAUAAUGCACAUGUUGUGUAUUCUAUUAAUUCAUGUUUUUGAAUUAUAAACUAACUGUAGUAUAAAGGA